RNA transcript from Mustela lutreola (European mink), 3775 nucleotides. It is a transcript of the gene named multifunctional ROCO family signaling regulator 1, with no coding region annotated. The transcript is spliced from 4 exons. Lineage: Eukaryota; Metazoa; Chordata; Mammalia; Carnivora; Mustelidae. The record is from RefSeq and is a predicted model, not a curated record.
GGGCCCCUGUCAUGGCUGCGAAGGACAGCGGGAACCUGAAGACGGUGAGGCUGUGGCGGGACGCCGCCCUGCGCGCCAGGAAGCUGCGGAGCAACCUGCGCCAGCUCACCCUCAGCGCGGCCGGGGGCUGCCCGGGGGCGGGCGCCGAGCAGCUCGACUCCCCCGACGCCCCCCAGCUCGUGCUGCCGGCCAACAUCGGGGACAUUGAGGUGCUGAACCUGGGCAACAACGGCCUGGAGGAGGUGCCCGACGGGCUGGGCUCGGCGCUGGGCAGCCUGCGCGUCCUGGUGCUGCGCAGAAACCGCUUCGCCCGGCUGCCCCCGGCCGUGGCCGAGCUCGGCCACCACCUCACCGAGCUGGACGUGAGCCACAACCGGCUGACCACCCUGGGCGCGGAGGUGGUGAGCGCCCUGCGGGAGCUGCGCAAGCUCAACCUCAGCCACAACCAGCUGCCCGCCCUGCCCGCCCAGCUGGGGACCCUGGCCCACCUGGAGGAGCUGGAUGUCAGCUUCAACCGGCUGGCACACCUGCCCGACUCCCUCUCCUGCCUCUUGCGCCUGCGCACCCUCGACGUGGACCACAACCAGCUCACGGCUUUCCCCCGGCAGCUGCUGCAGCUGGCGGCCCUGGAGGAGCUGGACGUGUCCAGCAACCGGCUGCGGGGCCUACCUGAGGAUAUCAGUGCCCUGCGCGCCCUCAAGAUCCUCUGGCUGAGUGGGGCCGAGCUUGGCACCCUGCCCAGCGGCGUCUGCGAGCUGGCCGGCCUCGAGAGCCUCAUGCUCGACAACAACGGGCUGCACGCUCUGCCCGCCCAGUUCAGCCGCCUGCAGCGGCUCAAAAUGCUCAACCUCUCCUCCAACCUCUUCGAGGAGUUCCCUGCCGCGCUGCUGCCCCUGGCUGGGCUGGAGGAGCUCUACCUGAGCCGCAACCAGCUCACCUGCGUGCCGCCGCUCAUCUCGGGCCUGGGCCGGCUUCUCACCCUCUGGCUGGAUCAUAACCGGAUCCGCUACCUGCCCGACUCCAUUGUGGAACUGACGGGUCUGGAGGAGCUCGUGCUGCAAGGGAACCAGAUCGCCGUGCUGCCCGACAACUUCGGCCAGCUCUCCAGGGUGGGCCUGUGGAAGAUCAAGGACAACCCGCUGAUCCAGCCCCCCUACGAGGUCUGCAUGAAGGGGAUCCCCUACAUCGCAGCCUACCAGAAGGAGCUAGCGCACUCCCAGCCCGCUGUGCAGCCCCGCCUCAAGCUGCUCCUGAUGGGCCACAAGGCCGCGGGGAAGACCUUGCUCCGUCACUGUCUCACUGAGGACAGAGUGGAGGGAAACCAGGGAGGAGGGGACAAGGAAAAGAGCUGCCCCGCUGCAGCUCCUUCUGUGAGCAAAGGCAUCGAGGUGACCAGCUGGACGGCGGACGCUUCCCGGGGGCUGCGGUUCAUUGUGUAUGACUUAGCGGGCGAUGAAAGCUACGAGGUGAUCCAGCCCUUCUUCCUCUCCCCGGGAGCCCUCUACGUGCUGGUGGUGAACCUGGCCACCUAUGAGCCCCGUCGCUUUCCCGCCACCGUAGGUUCCUUCUUGCAUCGGGUCGGGGCCCGGGUUCCCCAUGCCGUGGUGUGCAUUGUGGGCACGCAUGCAGACUUGUGUGGGGAGCGGGAGCUGGAGGAGAAGUGCCUGGACAUUCACCGCCAGAUCGCCCUGCAGGAGAAGCACGACGCGGAGGGACUGAGCCGGUUGGCCCAGGUGGUGGACGAGGCCCUGACCCGGGACUUUGAGCUGCGCUCCGCCAGCCCCCACGCUGCCUACUACGGGGUUUCAGACAAGAACCUCCGGCGGCGCAAGGCCCAUUUUCAGUACCUGCUCAACCACCGGCUGCAGAUCCUGUCUCCGGUGUUGCCCGUCAGCUGCAGAGACCCUCGCCAGUUACAGCGCCUUCGGGACAAGCUGCUCUCCGUAGCUGAGCACCGGGAGAUCUUCCCCAAUUUACAUAGAGUACUGCCUCGAUCCUGGCAGGUGCUGGAGGAGCUGCAUUUCCAGCCGCCCCAGGCACAGAGGCUGUGGCUCAGCUGGUGGGACUCGGCCCGCCUGGGCCUGCAGGCUGGUCUGACCGAGGACCGGCUACAGAGUGCUCUUUCGUACCUGCACGAGAGCGGCAAGCUGCUCUACUUCGAGGACAGCCCAGCCCUCAAGGAGCACGUCUUCCACAACCUCACCCGCCUCAUCGACAUCCUCAAUGUCUUUUUCCAGAGGGAUCCUUCCCUGCUGCUGCACAAGCUGCUCCUGGGCACCAGCGGCGAGGGCGAGGGUGAGGGCGACAGCUCCCCGCUGAUGGUGACACCCACCCCAGGCCAGGAACUUUUGCGGGCCACCCAGCUCCAUCAUUACGUGGAGGGCUUUCUGCUUCACGGGCUCUUGCCAGCCCAUGUCAUCCGGUUGCUGCUGAAGCCUCACGUCCAGGCCCAGCAGGACUUGCAGCUGCUGUUGGAGCUGCUGGAGAAGAUGGGACUCUGUUACUGCCUCAAUAAGCCCAAAGGCAAGCCUCUGAAUGGAUCCACGGCUUGGUACAAGUUCCCGUGCUAUGUGCAGAACGAGGUACCCCAUGCAGAGGCCUGGAUUAACGGGACCAACCUGGCCGGGCAGUCUUUCGUGGCCGAGCAGUUGCAGAUUGAAUACAGUUUCCCCUUCACCUUUCCACCCGGCCUGUUCGCGCGCUACAGCGUCCAGAUCAACAGCCACGUGGUGCACAGAUCGGACGGGAAACUUCAGAUCUUUGCGUAUCGGGGGAAGGUUCCGGUGGUGGUCAGUUACAGACCGGCCAAGGGGCUCCUGCAGCCAGACACUCUGUCCAUUGCCAGCCACGCGUCGUUACCAAACAUAUGGACGGCAUGGCAAGCCAUAACCCCCUUGGUAGAGGAACUGAAUGUCCUGCUUCAGGAAUGGCCUGGACUGCACUAUACCGUGCACAUUCUCUGUUCUAAGUGCCUUAAGAGAGGGUCGCCCAAUCCACACGCUUUCCCAGGGGAGCUUCUGAGUCAGCCCAGACCGGAAGGAGUGGCAGAGAUCAUUUGCCCUAAGAACGGCAGCGAGCGAGUGAAUGUUGCCUUGGUUUACCCACCUACACCGACUGUGAUCAGCCCCUGUUCUAAGUAUCUCCAUACUUUCUUGGAAAAUUAAGUGGAAAAGAUAGUGCUUCUCUCCCCUUUGUCAUCAUUUUUACUGUAUCCAAUCUGUGACUUUAAGAGCGCCAGUUUUUAAGGGAAGAACGUUGGUGAAAAGCACAGAAACCAGUGACUUCUAUGGCUGUGGAAUUUCCGUGAAGAAAAGACAGCAUCCGAACUCACCUGGACCAUCUUUCACACCUGGCAGACCCUCCACGCUCCUGCGCGCGUGUCCCAUGAACUCCAGCCAGUCGACGCGUGGGGUGCUUGCAGAGGAGGGCACAGACCUGGCCUGUAGAGGGAGCGGGGAGGGCAGGGGGGAGGCUAGGGGAGAACAUGGAGCAAAUGUUUUACAACCUGAACCUCAGAACUGUGAUCCUCCGAGGAGAGCGCUACUUGAAGAAAAGAAAAAAAAAAGUCGAAUGGCUUCUCAGGGAUUUUGUUUUCUGUCCACAUAAAAGCCAUAGUUCGUUUAGGUGGCCGUAUUUUGAGCACUCAGAUUUCAGUUGUGUUAAAUGUGAAAGAGGGAUCGACUGACCGUUCAUUGCUGUUCCGUGACUAGUGUAAAAUAUGUAUAUGUUUAUCUUUAUUUUUAUAAUAUGCAAAUACAUUUAAAUUUAUACAGUU